Molecule: non-coding RNA, 90 nt
Organism: Triticum aestivum (bread wheat)
Lineage: Eukaryota; Viridiplantae; Streptophyta; Magnoliopsida; Poales; Poaceae
Source: Rfam
UGGCUGUGAUGACAACAAGAUUACUUGUUCAUACCUUAAUUUCAGUUGAGGACCAAAUCUGAUGACUUUAUUUGUGCGUGUCUGAGCCGG